GACGAACGCUGGCGGCGUGCUUAACACAUGCAAGUCGAACGGAAAGGCCCUGCUUUUGUGGGGUGCUCGAGUGGCGAACGGGUGAGUAACACGUGAGUAACCUGCCCUUGACUUUGGGAUAACUUCAGGAAACUGGGGCUAAUACCGGAUAGGAGCUCCUGCUGCAUGGUGGGGGUUGGAAAGUUUCGGCGGUUGGGGUUGGACUCGCGGCUUAUCAGCUUGUUGGUGGGGUAGUGGCUUACAAAGUUUUUGAGGGGUAGCCGGCCUGGGGGGGUGACCGGCCACUUGGGGACUGAGAUACGCCCCAGACUCCAAGGGGAGGCAGGAGGGGGGAAUUUUGCACAAUGGGCGGAAGCCUGAGGCAGCACCGCGGGGUGGGGGAGGAGGGCCUUGGGGUUGUAAACCGUUUUCGCCUGUGACGAAGCGGGAGGGAGGGUAUGGUGUAAAGAAGCCCGGGCUAACUACGUG
This 468-nucleotide ribosomal RNA is filed under the name uncultured bacterium. RNAcentral describes it as "partial 16S ribosomal RNA". It matches the Rfam family "Bacterial small subunit ribosomal RNA", at positions 28 to 507 of the family's 1533-position model. The record is from RNAcentral.